RNAcentral lists this ribosomal RNA (1199 nucleotides) under Streptomyces candidus. RNAcentral's name for it is "bacterial SSU rRNA". It matches the Rfam family "Bacterial small subunit ribosomal RNA", at positions 25 to 1273 of the family's 1533-position model. The record is from RNAcentral. Lineage: Bacteria; Bacillati; Actinomycetota; Actinomycetes; Kitasatosporales; Streptomycetaceae.
CUGGACUGCGGGCGUGCUUACACAUGCAGUCGAACGAUGAAGCCCUUCGGGGUGGAUUAGUGGCGAACGGGUGAGUAACACGUGGGCAAUCUGCCCUUCACUCUGGGACAAGCCCUGGAAACGGGGUCUAAUACCGGAUAACACUCCUGCCUGCAUGGGCGGGGGUUAAAAGCUCCGGCGGUGAAGGAUGAGCCCGCGGCCUAUCAGCUUGUUGGUGGGGUAAUGGCCUACCAAGGCGACGACGGGUAGCCGGCCUGAGAGGGCGACCGGCCACACUGGGACUGAGACACGGCCCAGACUCCUACGGGAGGCAGCAGUGGGGAAUAUUGCACAAUGGGCGAAAGCCUGAUGCAGCGACGCCGCGUGAGGGAUGACGGCCUUCGGGUUGUAAACCUCUUUCAGCAGGGAAGAAGCGCAAGUGACGGUACCUGCAGAAGAAGCACCGGCUAACUACGUGCCAGCAGCCGCGGUAAUACGUAGGGUGCGAGCGUUGUCCGGAAUUAUUGGGCGUAAAGAGCUCGUAGGCGGCUUGUCACGUCGGAUGUGAAAGCCCGGGGCUUAACCCCGGGUCUGCAUUCGAUACGGGCAGGCUAGAGUGUGGUAGGGGAGAUCGGAAUUCCUGGUGUAGCGGUGAAAUGCGCAGAUAUCAGGAGGAACACCGGUGGCGAAGGCGGAUCUCUGGGCCAUUACUGACGCUGAGGAGCGAAAGCGUGGGGAGCGAACAGGAUUAGAUACCCUGGUAGUCCACGCCGUAAACGUUGGGAACUAGGUGUUGGCGACAUUCCACGUCGUCGGUGCCGCAGCUAACGCAUUAAGUUCCCCGCCUGGGGAGUACGGCCGCAAGGCUAAAACUCAAAGGAAUUGACGGGGCCCGCACAAGCAGCGGAGCAUGUGGCUUAAUUCGACGCAACGCGAAGAACCUUACCAAGCUUGACAUAUACCGGAAGCAUCAGAGAUGUGCCCCCUUGUGGUCGGUAUACAGUGUGCAUGCUGUCGUCAGCUCGUGUCGUGAGAUGUAGGUAGUCCUGCACGAGCGCACCCAUGUCUGUGUGGCAGCAUGCCAUUUCGGGUGAUGGGACUGCACAGAACUGGCUGGUUCAGCUCGAGCAGUUGGGACGACGGUCAGUCAUCAUGUCCUAUGUCUUGGCUGAACGGUCGCAAUGUGUACAAUGACUGCAGUUCCUGAGGCGGACGAAGAC